RNAcentral lists this ribosomal RNA (393 nucleotides) under uncultured bacterium. RNAcentral's name for it is "bacterial SSU rRNA". It matches the Rfam family "Bacterial small subunit ribosomal RNA", at positions 28 to 410 of the family's 1533-position model. The record is from RNAcentral.
GACGAACGCUGGCGGCGUGCCUAACACAUGCAAGUCGUACGGGCUUGGGGGGCAACUCUCAAGUCAGUGGCGAACGGGUGCGUAACACGUGAGCAACUUGCCCUAUGGUGGGGGAUAGCCGGCCCAACGGCCGGGUAAUACCGCAUAUGGCGCUGAGGUCACAUGGCCUUAGUGGGAAAGCGGCCGCAAGGUCGCGCCAAAGGUGGGGGCUCGCGACGUAUCAGCUAGUGGCGGGGGUAACGGGCCCACCAAGGCUACGACGCGUAGCUGGUCUGAGAGGAUGGCCAGCCACAUUGGGACUGAGAUACGGCCCAGACUCCUACGGAGGGCAGCAGUGGGGAAUAUUGCGCAAUGGCCGCAAGGCUGACGCAGCGACGCCGCGUGUGGGGGAUG